AAGACACAACAUGAACUCAGUGACCUACCAGGGAGACUGUGGAAGCUUUCCAAAUGAAUGUGUUUCAAGACUGUGGCCUACUGAACUCCAGGGGAAAAAAAGGACAUAAGAUUACAGCUAUAAAGGCAGGAAGGAUCAGGUGGAAAAUGAAUUUGAAAAAUGGAAAACAAUAUUAAUUUGAAAGCCUAGGGGAAAAAAAAAGACUGAUCGGGGGCUUCAGCCUUAAACUCUGGGCGGCCCCGUCUGGACCGUGCACUGCUCCAAGUGGCUUUUCCACUGCCAGCUAUGUGCAGUGGGUGUAAAUCAUCCCUUUCUAACAACUCAUGAAUUUAAGUAAAAAGGACGAGAACAGUAACUGAAAAUGAGCUUAAGAAAACAGGCCAAAUGCCAUUAAAGUCUCUUGAACUUUUUCCGUG
Ornithorhynchus anatinus (platypus) is the source of this 416-nucleotide long non-coding RNA. RefSeq lists it as uncharacterized. NCBI's taxonomy places the organism in Eukaryota, Metazoa, Chordata, Mammalia, Monotremata, Ornithorhynchidae. The record is from RefSeq and is a predicted model, not a curated record. The transcript is spliced from 2 exons.